GUGCUCGCGUCAGCAGCACAUAUACUAAAAUUGCAAUGACACAGAGAAGAUUAGCAUGGUCCCUGUGCAUGGAUGACUCGCAAAUUAGUGAAGCGUUCCCUCUUUUU
Molecule: small nuclear RNA, 107 nt
Organism: Cebus imitator (Panamanian white-faced capuchin)
Lineage: Eukaryota; Metazoa; Chordata; Mammalia; Primates; Cebidae
Source: RefSeq, a predicted model, not a curated record